UUGGUGUGGUAACGGCUCACCAAACCUACGAUGGAUAGGGGUUCUGAGAGGAAGGUCCCCCACACUGGAACUGAGACACGGUCCAGACUCCUACGGGAGGCAGCAGUGAGGAAUAUUGGUCAAUGGGCGCGAGCCUGAACCAGCCACGUCGCGUGAAGGAUGACGGCCUUAUGGGUUGUAAACUUCUUUUACAGGGGAAUAAAGUGAGUCACGUGUGAUUUUUUGCAUGUACCCUGUGAAUAAGCAUCGGCUAACUCCGUGCCAGCAGCCGCGGUAAUACGGAGGAUGCGAGCGUUAUCCGGAUUUAUUGGGUUUAAAGGGUGCGUAGGCGGGAUAUUAAGUCAGCGGUGAAAGUUUUCGGCUCAACCUUAAAAUUGCCGUUGAAACUGUUAUUCUUGAGUGCAGUAGAGGUAGGCGGAAUUCGUUGUGUAGCGGUGAAAUGCGUAGAUAUAACGAGGAACUCCGAUUGCGUAGGCAGCUUACUAUAUUGCUACUGACGCUGAGGCACGAAAGUGUGGGUAUCAAACAGGAUUAGAUACCCUGGUAGUCCACACAGUAAACGAUGAAUACUAGCUGUUUGCGAUAUAUUGUAAGCGGCCGAGCGAAAGC
RNAcentral lists this ribosomal RNA (609 nucleotides) under uncultured bacterium. RNAcentral describes it as "bacterial SSU rRNA". It matches the Rfam family "Bacterial small subunit ribosomal RNA", at positions 249 to 858 of the family's 1533-position model. The record is from RNAcentral.